UACGCGGGAAAAGCAAAAAAAGAUUUUCUUGAUGAUUCCGUACACAAGUUUCUUCUACUGCCAGCGGUCAGGUCUUUGAAACGGCGGUUUAAAACGCGCAGAGUCGUCAAUCGCCGUAGCAAUUUUUAAAUGUUGCUUAUCUGGUAGAAAGCAAAUGUUGUGGCCCCAAGUGUCAUAAUGGAAAGUGCGAAAAAUUCAUAAUUUCAAGGGGGACAUAAAUCUCACAGAAAGCUUGCUUUACAUGAAUUGGACUCGGUUAUUGUACUUCACAAUUUUCGGAUUGUUCAAACAAAAAGUAACACCUUUAAUCUUGAUGAACAUCAAGAGAAACGAGCGAAAAUGUUGUAUGAAUGAGAUGAACGACCAGGUGGAAAAGGAGAAAUUGGCGGUCGCUUUUUGGGCUGAGUAAAUUAAAUCCCCCGCGAUCAAUUCGGUGGUCUUUUGCUGGCCGUCAAGGAAAUCAAUUUUUCCGUUAAUCCAAUUAAAUGCUCUGGGCGUGAACGGUGCUGUAAAAAGCAAGACCUUUAAAAUGAUAACCGGCGACGAAACUUCGAGCAGUGGAGUUAUGUAUUUAGGCGAAAAAGAGAU
Leptopilina boulardi is the source of this 588-nucleotide long non-coding RNA. RefSeq lists it as uncharacterized. The record is from RefSeq and is a predicted model, not a curated record. Lineage: Eukaryota; Metazoa; Arthropoda; Insecta; Hymenoptera; Figitidae. The transcript is spliced from 3 exons.